This 492-nucleotide ribosomal RNA is filed under the name uncultured bacterium. RNAcentral's name for it is "partial 16S ribosomal RNA". It matches the Rfam family "Bacterial small subunit ribosomal RNA", at positions 29 to 507 of the family's 1533-position model. The record is from RNAcentral.
AGUGAACGCUGGCGGUAGGCCUAACACAUGCAAGUCGAACGGCAGCACAGUAAGAGCUUGCUCUUACGGGUGGCGAGUGGAGGACGGGUGAGGAAUACAUCGGAAUCUACUUUUUCGUGGGGGAUAACGUAGGGAAACUUACGCUAAUACCGCAUACGACCUACGGGUGAAAGCAGGGGAUCUUCGGACCUUGCGCGAUUGGAUGAGCCGAUGUCGGAUUAGCUAGUUGGCGGGGUAAAGGCCCACCAAGGCGACGAUCCGUAGCUGGUCUGAGAGGAUGAUCAGCCACACUGGAACUGAGACACGGUCCAGACUCCUACGGGAGGCAGCAGUGUGGAAUAUUGGACAAUGGGCGCAAGCCUGAUCCAGCCAUACCGCGUGGGUGAAGAAGGCCUUCGGGUUGUAAAGCCCUUUUGUUGGGAAAGAAAAGCAGCAGGUUAAUACCCCGCUGUUCUGACGGUACCCAAAGAAUAAGCACCGGCUAACUUCGUG